AUUAUCUUAGCAAAAUAGUGCAUUAAAUUUAGAAUUUAAAUAUAUAUUUAAAAAUAUAGGUAAUA
RNAcentral lists this transfer RNA (65 nucleotides) under Megalyra sp. MM-2014. RNAcentral's name for it is "tRNA-Leu". It matches the Rfam family "tRNA". From Rfam's summary of the family: Transfer RNA (tRNA) molecules are approximately 80 nucleotides in length. Lineage: Eukaryota; Metazoa; Arthropoda; Insecta; Hymenoptera; Megalyridae. The record is from RNAcentral.